UUUUAAAUUUAUGUAAGUUUAUUUGAUUCAAACAAAAUAACUUAAGAGGAGAAAGUUUAUGAAAAAGACACUGGGAUGUUUACUUUUAAUUAUGCUUUUAGUCGUAGCAGGUUGUUCUUUUGGUGGGAAUCAUAAAUUAUCAUCAAAGAAAUCAGAAGAAUCAAAACAAGAAACUGUAAAAAAAGAAUCGGAAGAAGAGAAAGACCCAGAUUUAGAGAAAUUUGAAGAAAUAGAGAAGAAAAUGAAAGGAAUUA
Molecule: small RNA, 254 nt
Filed under: Staphylococcus aureus
Lineage: Bacteria; Bacillati; Bacillota; Bacilli; Caryophanales; Staphylococcaceae
Description: Transcript
Source: RNAcentral